RNAcentral lists this long non-coding RNA (3721 nucleotides) under Citrus x clementina. Its description in RNAcentral is "Citrus clementina (C. clementina) long non-coding RNA (CCLE_LNC001844)". Lineage: Eukaryota; Viridiplantae; Streptophyta; Magnoliopsida; Sapindales; Rutaceae. The record is from RNAcentral.
AACUUACAUUCAACGUAAGUUAGGCGGACCCUAACUCUAUAGAGCAUAGGGGGCUAGAUGAAAUUUAAGGAAGAAUUCCUUUUCGAAAAAAAAUCAUCAUAAAAUAAAAUCCUCUUAAGAAUAUCCUAUGAUAAAAUCAUCAUAAUGAUGAAAUUCAAAGAAAAAUUCCUUAAAGAAAACUCAUCACAAGAAAAAAAAGUCUAAUUUUUUUUUUACUUUGAAAAUUUUAGACUGGGGGGGGGGGAGUGUUUGACCAAAAAUAGAAUAAGCCCAGUUAGGGUCUAAAUAUAUCCAGUCCCUAUAAAGCCCAUGAAGAGGUCGAUAAAUAUUCUAGGGUAAAUAAACUAGGUGGCAAGGGUUCAAAGCCCAAAAAGAGUCAAGGUCUUAAGUUUCUGUCCUAGGACAAACCACCUAAGAUAAAUCAACUAGGUGUCAAGGAUUCAAUGGGCAAAAGGUGCCGAGAUUCUAUGCUCUUAUCCUGGAUAAACCUCCAAAUUUCCUAUAAUCCCAAAGUCUUAGUAAAAAUAACCUAAGGAUAAAACGUUUCUUCCUUUAAUCCAUAAAUAAGUUUGCAUACCCAUGUGUCAAUCAACAUGGGCACUAAAAGACCAGUGUUGAAAAAUAUCACAAGAACAAUGACACUUGUAUCAAAGUAAUUAGGACUCAAGUCAAAUCAAUUUCGCCUUUAAAUUUGUUUCUCAUUCUCACUAAAAGUUAUGAAAAAAAUUGAUUCAAGAGGGGAAAUGAUGAUCUUCUCUCUCUAUUUUUCUCUCUCUUUAAAUUUAUAUUUUUAAAGAUCCGAUGACUGACUUGCUUGUCAGAGGGUUUAAGCCGACAAAGCCGGCUUUUUGAUCUUUUUCUUGUGUUUUUCGAGUUUCAUUGGACAAGGAAAUUCUCAUUAAUUAAAGAAGAAAACUGAGAUGAGGAGAUAUAAAGUCCCAUUAAGAUUGGCCCAAAGAGUAAACUCACCAUCAUCAAAUCCAACAAGAGGAACUCAAAUACUAAAGGGUUAUCCUUAGUUAGAAUUUCUAUAUGAAGUUGCCAAUGGCUCAACCGCCACCCACUUUGUGAUGUAAUCAAUGGCAACUAUAGCAAACCUUACUUGCCUUUUUCUUUUUAGAUCAAUCCCUCAUUGGGCAAAUGGCUAAGGAAUGGGGAGAUGAGUUAACUACUUUGGAGAUUGCUUGGGUAUAAUAGUGAAACUUGGCAUUUAUUUUACUUUUUUGCUAGCUCCAACGUAUCUUGUUGCAUCGUCGGCCAAAGGUAUUCUUGUCUCAUAGCUUUGUAGGCAAGUGCUCGUUCUUCAAAAUGAUUUCCACAUAUCCCCUCAUAGAUUUCACGUCGGACAUUAUCUCCAUUUUUGGGUGUUAAACACUUGAGAAGAAGAAGUGAAUAUCCACAUUUGUAAAGUUGAUUAUCCAUGAUCACAUACUUUAUAACUCGGUAUCUCACCUUUUUUUUAUUCAUUCUUGUUCUCAGGUAAAGUUCCAUUCAUAAGAUAACUCAUAAUUGGGUCUAUUUAGGAACUUCGAUAGUCAACAAUUUCCAAUUCAUUUUCUUCGAAUUUGAUUAUGCCUGGCUUGGGAAUGAUAUCUACUAGAACUAAUUUUAGUAAGUCUUUUUCUGGUGAGAAAUCCAGUUGAGCCAAUGCAUCAGCUCGUGAGUUUUUCUCCCAAGGAAUUUGCUUUACCUAAUAAUUAAAGUCCCUUAACAACUCAUUAACUCAAUCAAGAUAUUCAAUCAUGUUGAAAUCUCGAUCUAUACAGUUGCAAUUCACUUGAUUAACUACCGAUUGAGAGUUGCUAAAGACAAGUAAAUCAUUUGCAUUUAAUGCCCGAACUAGCCUAAGGCCAACUAGAAGAGCUUUAUACCCUGCAUCAUUGUUGGUAGCAUUGAAGCCAUACCUAAGAGCACAUCCGAUCUCAACAUUGUCUAGGGUGAUUGCUAUAAACCCUUCUCCACAUCUUAGUUUACUAGAGGAUCCAUUGACGUAAAGAGACUAUUUAUCUUGAUAUUCUUUCUUAGGAUCAAGUGAUAUUAUCUCUCCUUUAGUAAAAUCAGUAAUGAAGUUUGCCACUGCUUGCCCUUUUAAUGAUGUCCUAGGAUGAUACAAGAUGUCAAACUCUCCAAGCUCAAUAGGACAAUUAUAGUAUGAGCCUGGAAAUAAGGGCUUAGCCUUUUUGCUGAAACAAUAAAGGCUAGGACAAUAUUUUCAAGACUUAGAUACCUUGUUUUUUCAUCAACUAUUGCUCUACAUAUAUAGUAUCUAGGUCUUUGCAUUCCAUCAUCUUCUCGAAAAAGGACAGAGCUAGUGGCAUGUUCAAACACCGCAAGAUAGAGUAAGAGGGACUUACCUUAGAUUGGCUUAAUGAUAAGUGCAUAUUUUCCAUAUAUUUUGCUAUUAAUUUCUCUAUCUUUUUCUUAUUUUGGUCUUAAAUGUUUUAGUUAUUUUAGUUAAUUUUUAAUUUCGUAAAUUAUAUUUUAUUGUGUUAAUUUUUAUCAUAGUUUUAUUUAUUUUGUUAUUUUAGAUGUAUUCUGGAAUUAAAGAGAAAUUAACAAGCCAAACCAUCACAUGAAAGCAAAAUUGGAAAACAAAGAUUGCAAACCAAAAGUGGCCAGCACGUGAAAGGAAAGAGAAUAAAGCCUUUUGGGUUUAGGAAAUCAUGGCCAAAUCAUUAUUGGCUUAUUACUUGAAGCAUGAAAAUGGCGGUUUUAGGCUUUGGAUUUAAUUCUUUCCAUGCAAGGAUUUAAAAAAAAAGCCACAAUUGAAGCAUUAUAAAAAGGAUUAAGCGGAAGCAACAUGGAGGGAUUUUGCUUUUGGCAGCCAAGAGGAUUUGAGGAACCAGCAGCCCCAAGAAGGGAAAAACAAGGGAGAAAUCGAAAAGGAAUUGAAGAAAAAGGCAGCCGCUUGAAUUAAUCUUCAUGAUUGGUUUUGUCAAUUCUCUUAUUCCCAAUUCAAUUAUGUUAAGCUAGAUUUUUAUUUGGUUGAGAGUGAAUUCAAAACCCCGAACAUGUCACAUGAUUAAUUUUUAAUUUCUAUCAUUCAAUUUAUUUAAUUGAGAUUGUUUAUGUUCUUCUAUAAUUAAUAUUCAUAGUUUAUUCUUGUUUUAUUUGAGUGGCCAAUUAGAUAGGAUUUGAAUAAAUUCUAUUACUAGAUUAAAAUUCUUGAUCCGUAAUUGUCUUGAUAUUUUAAUCAUUAAUAGCAGGUUGGAAUCAGUUAUUUCAAUUGGAGAAUAUAACCUAGGUUAAAUAAUCCGAGUUUGUGUGUUUAUUGCCUAGAUCAACCUAAUAUCUUUCUCUGUUUAAUGCUUCCAUUAUCUUAAAUUUAAAGAGCUUGUUUUAAAUUAUUUAAUGAUUAGAGAUUAGGUGAAGAGCUUAUUUUGCCUAACGACACACUAAGGAAAGAUUGAGACUAACAGAGCUUAUUGUUGUCUAUGGUUGAUAGUUUCAAUAUAAAUUGAUGAUAGUAUUGAUAUAUUAUGUGCAUGUUUGGUGGUGGCGAAUGAUCCUUUAACCAAAGUUUUCAUAAUUAUUAUUUCUUUCUCCUUUAAUUAGAGUUUUUAUUAAAUUAUUGUUCAUAGUUUUAAUUUUUUUAUUUCUUACUAUUUAGUUAAAAAUUCAUAAACCCCCCAUUUAUUUACAACUAGAAAAUAGAGCUGCACUUCGCGCGGUUUUGAAAAAAGAAUUUAGUAUUAUUCUUUUUUCUUACUUUACACUUGAU